RNAcentral lists this ribosomal RNA (253 nucleotides) under uncultured bacterium. Its description in RNAcentral is "partial 16S ribosomal RNA". It matches the Rfam family "Bacterial small subunit ribosomal RNA", at positions 524 to 776 of the family's 1533-position model. The record is from RNAcentral.
UACAGAGGUCCCAAGCGUUGUUCGGAUUCACUGGGCGUAAAGGGUGCGUAGGUGGUCGGGUAAGUCUGAUGUGAAAUCUCCGAGCUUAACUCGGAAAUGGCAUUGGAUACUAUUCGACUGGAGGGUUGGAGGGGGGACUGGAAUUCUCGGUGUAGCAGUGAAAUGCGUAGAUAUCGAGAGGAACACCAGUGGCGAAGGCGAGUCCCUGGACAACUCCUGACACUGAGGCACGAAAGCUAGGGGAGCAAACAGG